CUUCACCUUCUCAUUAAGGCCAUUAUUGAUAUCAUGAAGUGUAUCCAGAUUUUCACUAAGCUCCUUUAUAUCCAAAAAUUUUUCAACAAUAAUAUCCCUGAAAAUCAGAGAAAUUGUACUUAGAGACACUGUCUCAGCAAAAAUGGCACAGUUCUCUUCUUCUAAAUUACAUUUCUCUUCUCCCAAGUCUGAGAUUGAUUUCAUUAGCAAUCUUUGCUCAUCAACCACCUUGCAUUUCUCUUUCCGUAAAUUCUGGUAAUCCCCUUGCAAAUCU
RNAcentral lists this unclassified non-coding RNA (274 nucleotides) under Hevea brasiliensis (rubber tree). Lineage: Eukaryota; Viridiplantae; Streptophyta; Magnoliopsida; Malpighiales; Euphorbiaceae. The record is from RNAcentral.